This 430-nucleotide ribosomal RNA is filed under the name uncultured bacterium. Its description in RNAcentral is "bacterial SSU rRNA". It matches the Rfam family "Bacterial small subunit ribosomal RNA", at positions 355 to 776 of the family's 1533-position model. The record is from RNAcentral.
UCGAGAGGCUUUGGCAAUGGGGGCAACCCUGACCAAGCGACGCCGCGUGGAGGAUGAAGGCCCUUGGGUUGUAAACUCCUUUUGUUGGGGAAGAAAUGCGAUCAGGUGAACAAUCUGGUCGUUUGACGGUACCCGACGAAUAAGCUCCGGCUAACUCCGUGCCAGCAGCCGCGGUAACACGGGGGGAGCAAGCGUUGUUCGGAAUCACUGGGCGUAAAGGGCGUGUAGGCGGUCGAGUAAGUGGGAUGUGAAAUGCCCCGGCUCACCCGGGGACCGGCAUCUCAAACUGCUUGGCUAGAGUACGGGAGAGGAUGAGGGAAUUCCUGGUGUAGCGGUGAAAUGCGUAGAUAUCAGGAGGAACACCGGUGGCGAAAGCGCUCAUCUGGCCCGAUACUGACGCUGAGGCGCGAAAGCUAGGGGAGCAAACGGG